RNAcentral lists this transfer RNA (67 nucleotides) under Heteropternis respondens. RNAcentral's name for it is "tRNA-Tyr". Lineage: Eukaryota; Metazoa; Arthropoda; Insecta; Orthoptera; Acrididae. The record is from RNAcentral.
GGUAAGGUGUCUGAAUUAAUAGGUAAUAGACUGUAAAUCUAUUUAUGAGAAGUUUUCUCCCUUACCA